GACGAACGCUGGCGGCGUGCUUAACACAUGCAAGUCGAACGGGAUCCGGGCUUUCGGGUUUGGUGAGAGUGGCGAACGGGUGAGUAACACGUGAGUAACCUGCCCCCUUCUUUGGGAUAACGUCGGGAAAUCGGCGCUAAUACUGGAUAUUCUUGCUGCACCGCAUGGUGGGGUUUGGAAAGGGUUUCUGGUGGGGGAUGGGCUCGCGGCCUAUCAGCUUGUUGGUGGGGUGAUGGCCUACCAAGGCUUUGACGGGUAGCCGGCCUGAGAGGGUGUCCGGGCACACUGGGACUGAGACACGGCCCAGACUCCUACGGGCGGCAGCAGUGGGGAAUAUUGGACACUGGGCGCAAGCCUGAUGCAGCGACGCCACGUGAGUGAUGUCGGCCUUCGGGUUGUAAGCCUCUUUCAGUAUGGAACAAGGAUCCUUCUUUUGGGGGGUUUGAGGGUACGUGCAGAAGAAGCGCCGGCUAACUACGUG
Molecule: ribosomal RNA, 481 nt
Filed under: uncultured bacterium
Lineage: Bacteria
Description: partial 16S ribosomal RNA
Rfam family: Bacterial small subunit ribosomal RNA
Source: RNAcentral